Molecule: long non-coding RNA, 398 nt
Filed under: Vitis vinifera (wine grape)
Lineage: Eukaryota; Viridiplantae; Streptophyta; Magnoliopsida; Vitales; Vitaceae
Description: long non-coding RNA (VVIN_LNC004140)
Source: RNAcentral
UAGCCUUGCUCAACUUCUACACCGGGAUAGGGGCCCUUCAGUGUAUGCAUGCAUUGUUUAGGAGUUUCAUGAGCCUUGGACCGAGGGGCACAUCUUUCUCAUUAUUUUUUCCUAUCAUUGCGUCAUUGCAUUUCGUCACAUCUCGUUGGUUCUUCAUCCUCUUCUUUAUUAUAUCCAUCGUUUGUUCCGCUUCAUCUUCUCCCACCCCGAGUGGUGAUCAUCCUCAGUUCAUUACAUGGAGGGUAGUCAUGUCAUUUUCCACUAUCUAUCCUACGGACGUUGAUCCAGGGAUCCUUGGCUUGAGAGGGUCACAUCAUUAGAGAGAGUUUGUGAUAUAUUGAUAUUUGAGAGCAUGUUUAUUCAUUUUUGAUCCCGUCUUUGGGUCUUUCUUGGUUUGC